GACGAACGCUGGCGGCGUGCUUAACACAUGCAAGUCGAACGGAAAGGCCCUGCUUUUGUGGGGUGCUCGAGUGGCGAACGGGUGAGUAACACGUGAGUAACCUGCCCUUGACUUUGGGAUAACUUCAGGAAACUGGGGCUAAUACCGGAUAGGAGCUCCUGCUGCAUGGUGGGGGUUGGAAAGUUUCGGCGGUUGGGGAUGGACUCGCGGCUUAUCAGCCUGUUGGUGGGGUAGUGGCUUACCAAGGCUUUGACGGGUAGCCGGCCUGAGAGGGUGACCGGCCACAUUGGGACUGAGAUACGGCCCAGACUCCUACGGGAGGCAGCAGGGGGGAAUUUUGCACAAUGGGCGGAAGCCUGAUGCAGCAACGCCGCGUGCGGGAUGACGGCCUUCGGGUUGUAAACCGCUUUCGCCUGUGACGAAGCGGGAGUGACGGUAAUGGGUAAAGAAGCAACGGCUAACUACGUG
Molecule: ribosomal RNA, 468 nt
Filed under: uncultured bacterium
Lineage: Bacteria
Description: partial 16S ribosomal RNA
Rfam family: Bacterial small subunit ribosomal RNA
Source: RNAcentral